This 301-nucleotide ribosomal RNA is filed under the name uncultured bacterium. Its description in RNAcentral is "partial 16S ribosomal RNA". It matches the Rfam family "Bacterial small subunit ribosomal RNA", at positions 509 to 807 of the family's 1533-position model. The record is from RNAcentral.
CAGUCGCCGCGGUAAUACGUAGGGUGCAAGCGUUAAUCGGAAUUACUGGGCGUAAAGCGUGCGCAGGCGGUUAUAUAAGACAGAUGUGAAAUCCCCGGGCUCAACCUGGGAACUGCAUUUGUGACUGUAUAGCUAGAGUACGGCAGAGGGGGAUUGAAUUCCGCGUGUAGCAGUGAAAUGCGUAGAUAUGCGGAGGAACACCGAUGGCGAAGGCAAUCCCCUGGGCCUGUACUGACGCUCAUGCACGAAAGCGUGGGGAGCAAACAGGAUUAGAUACCCGGGUAGUCCCUGUCUCUUAUAC